This 497-nucleotide ribosomal RNA is filed under the name uncultured bacterium. RNAcentral describes it as "partial 16S ribosomal RNA". It matches the Rfam family "Bacterial small subunit ribosomal RNA", at positions 28 to 507 of the family's 1533-position model. The record is from RNAcentral.
GAUGAACGCUGGCGGCGUGCCUAAUACAUGCAAGUCGAGCGAACGGACGAGAAGCUUGCUUCUCUGAUGUUAGCGGCGGACGGGUGAGUAACACGUGGAUAACCUACCUAUAAGACUGGGAUAACUUCGGGAAACCGGAGCUAAUACCGGAUGAUAUUUUGAACCGCAUGGUUCAAAAGUGAAAGACGGUCUUGCUGUCACUUAUAGAUGGAUCCGCGCUGCAUUAGCUAGUUGGUAAGGUAACGGCUUACCAAGGCAACGAUGCAUAGCCGACCUGAGAGGGGUAUCGGCCACACUGGAACUGAGACACGGUCCAGACUCCUACGGGAGGCAGCAGUAGGGAAUCUUCCGCAAUGGGCGAAAGCCUGACGGAGCAACGCCGCGUGAGUGAUGAAGGUCUUCGGAUCGUAAAACUCUGUUAUUAGGGAAGAACAUAUGUGUAAGUAACUGUGCACAUCUUGACGGUACCUAAUCAGAAAGCCACGGCUAACUACGUG